AUUCUAAUUUAGUAUUUAGAAGUUUAUUUGGCUGGAAGUCAGGGAAGUGAGGUAAGAAUCCUCCGCUGCCCCGCAGCCGUGAAGGGAACGAAAGCCUGAGAGAGGCCACUACCCCGAUAUUUCGGGAUGGGAAGGCAGGCAAGUAGGUUGAAGAUAGCCCUGAGCCGGAAGACCUAUCCAGACCAAGACAUUUAU
Molecule: non-coding RNA, 195 nt
Filed under: Thermodesulfovibrio sp.
Lineage: Bacteria; Pseudomonadati; Nitrospirota; Thermodesulfovibrionia; Thermodesulfovibrionales; Thermodesulfovibrionaceae
Source: RNAcentral